GACGAACGCUGGCGGCGUGCUUAACACAUGCAAGUCGAACGGAAAGGCCCUGCUUUUGUGGGGUGCUCGAGUGGCGAACGGGUGAGUAACACGUGAGUAACCUGCCCUUGACUUUGGGAUAACUUCAGGAAACUGGGGCUAAUACCGGAUAGGAGCUCCUGCUGCAUGGUGGGGGUUGGAAAGUUUCGGCGGUUGGGGAUGGACUCGCGGCUUAUCAGCUUGUUGGUGGGGUAGUGGCUUACCAAGGCUUUGACGGGUAGCCGGCCUGAGAGGGUGACCGGCCACAUUGGGACUGAGAUACGGCCCAGACUCCUACGGGAGGCAGCAGUGGGGAAUAUUGCACAAUGGGCGGAAGCCUGAUGCAGAAACGCCGCGUGCGGGAUGACGGCCUUCGGGUUGUAAACCGCUGUCGCCUGUGACGAAGCGUGAGUGACGGUAAUGGGUAAAGAAGCACCGGCUAACUACGUG
Molecule: ribosomal RNA, 468 nt
Filed under: uncultured bacterium
Lineage: Bacteria
Description: partial 16S ribosomal RNA
Rfam family: Bacterial small subunit ribosomal RNA
Source: RNAcentral